UGUUAAGUCAGAUGUGAAAGCCCCGGGCUCAACCUGGGAACUGCAGCUGAUACUGGGAAGCUUGAGUGUCGUAGAGGGUAGUAGAAUUCCAGGUGUAGCGGUGAAAUGCGUAGAGAUCUGGAGGAAUACCGGUGGCGAAGGCGGCCCCCUGGACGAAGACUGACGCUCAGGUGCGAAAGCGUGGGGAGCAAACAGG
RNAcentral lists this ribosomal RNA (196 nucleotides) under uncultured bacterium. RNAcentral describes it as "partial 16S ribosomal RNA". It matches the Rfam family "Bacterial small subunit ribosomal RNA", at positions 581 to 776 of the family's 1533-position model. The record is from RNAcentral.